AAUGAACGUUGGCGGCGUGGAUUAGGCAUGCAAGUCGAGCGGAAAGGCCCCGCAAGGGGUACUCGAGCGGCGUAAGGGACAGUAAUGUGUAGAUACGUACCUCUAGGUCUGGGAUAGCUGCGGGAAACUGCAAUUAAUACCAGAUAAUGUCUCCGGACCAAAGGUGUGAUUCCUCCUAGAAAGCGGUCUACAUCCUAUUAGCUUGUUGGCGGGGUAAUGGCCCACCAAGGCAAAGAUGGGUAGCAGGUGUGAGAGCACGACCUGCGUCACUGGGACUGAGACACUGCCCAGACACCUACGGGUGGCUGCAGUCGAGAAUCUUCGGCAAUGGGCGAAAGCCUGACCGAGCGACGCCGCGUGCGGGAUGAAGGCCUUCGGGUUGUAAACCGCUGUCAGAGGGGAUGAAAUGCCGAUGGGUACUCCCAACGGCUUGACUGAUCCUCGGAGGAAGGGUGGGCUAAGUUCGUGCCAGCCGCCGCAGUAAAAC
Molecule: ribosomal RNA, 487 nt
Filed under: uncultured bacterium
Lineage: Bacteria
Description: bacterial SSU rRNA
Rfam family: Bacterial small subunit ribosomal RNA
Source: RNAcentral